CUCCAGGAAUGCCCCCUGGUGCAGUGAUGUGCUUUCUCCAGGAAGACCUCCUAAUGCAGUGAUGUGCUUCCUCCAGGGAGGCCUCCUGUCCUAACAGUAACAUAACCUCCCCAAACAGGGCCACCACCUGAGGACCAAAUGCUCUAACACAAAAGACUGUAGAGGAUAUUUUUGCAUUCGAACCAGCACAAUCUCUGAGCUCCAUGAGGCUCCAAAGGACCUGCAGACUGUGGCCCAGUCUAGAGAAUGUGCAUGGCAUGCACGGGCUCUGAGUUCAACCUCCAGCCUACAGGAGAGAGAGACUGGCUCUACAAUCUAAGCUGAAUGCCUGCCACCCCCAUGAGUCUCAAUGUCCCCUGCAUCAUACAAUGAAAAAAAGCCUGUGUUUCAGGACCCGGGGGUGACCACUGGCAAAGGGGAGAACAACAACACCUGGAUAAGGGAACCAACCCUAAGGCCAUAAUCAAGGAUUCCUGCAGAGCCUAGCCCACAGCCAGGUUAGCCAGGCCACAGCCCAGAGUCGGUGCCAACACCCUGGGGUCCUCCUCUGUGGAGUGCUGCGCAGCCGUGGGAAGCCAGGCUUUUAGAACGUCUAGAUGGCAUGAAGCUGGCAGUGGAAUCAGUGAAAAGAUCAUCUGAAGGGAGCAGAAGAGCGAGGCAAGCUAGGGCGUUGGCUGGCUGGGGAUUUGUCCUGACCCUACACACCCCACCCCCUCCGCCACACAUACGCACUCUCCCGGUCCCUCUCCCCACUUCCCUCCUGUUCGGGACUUGUAGCAGCCUGCUUCAGAGCCCAGAAAAAAAAAAAAAUGCUUGGAGUCAACCAGCUGAGCAUACCCAAGCUCGUGGCUUUGUCUCUCAGUGCUGCCCCCUCCAGACUCAGUUUCCCUUCCCGGGAAGGAAGCAUAAUCAUACCCUUGCCCCGGGACAAGUGAGAGUCCGUGGAAGAAACAACAAACCGUAUGGUGUGAAGGGGUGCCCUUUGGAGGCUUCUCCUGGAGCCCCCAGGCCCUGAAAAGCCAGAGCAAAGCCAAGCCAACAACUGCUUUAAAGGCAUUCAACUCCCCUUACAGCCCCGGGCAAAGUCAGGCAUGAAGGCGGGAUCAAGACCCCAACAGAAUUCCGUAAUGAACGCUCUGCUGUCUCAGUUUAUGAGAGAAUACAUAAGACGUGUAAUUGCUUUUGUAUUUCGGACACUCAUUAGAAGAAUAAUAAAUGUUAUUAUUUAUUAAUAUGGC
This 1238-nucleotide long non-coding RNA is filed under the name Rattus norvegicus (Norway rat). Its description in RNAcentral is "long non-coding RNA NONRATT033353". The record is from RNAcentral. Lineage: Eukaryota; Metazoa; Chordata; Mammalia; Rodentia; Muridae.